Molecule: transfer RNA, 70 nt
Filed under: Abramis brama (common bream)
Lineage: Eukaryota; Metazoa; Chordata; Actinopteri; Cypriniformes; Leuciscidae
Description: tRNA-Ser
Source: RNAcentral
AAGGAAGGACAGACAUCAGUAAGUACUGCUAAUCCUUAUGUACCGAGGUUAAAGUCCUCGGCUUCCUUAC